GGGGAUUUAGCUCAGCGGCAUAAGCGCCUGCCUUGGAAGCAGGCGGUCAUGAGUUCAAUCCCCA
RNAcentral lists this transfer RNA (64 nucleotides) under Cavia porcellus (domestic guinea pig). It matches the Rfam family "tRNA", at positions 1 to 62 of the family's 71-position model. Rfam says of the family: Transfer RNA (tRNA) molecules are approximately 80 nucleotides in length. Their secondary structure includes four short double-helical elements and three loops (D, anti-codon, and T loops). Lineage: Eukaryota; Metazoa; Chordata; Mammalia; Rodentia; Caviidae. The record is from Rfam by way of RNAcentral.